UGGGUAGGUCAGGUUUGUUGGUUUUUUUUUUAUUUAUCUGGAGACUGGAGAAUGCAAGCAAAAAGGUGUUGAACUGGUCACAAAACGAGCAGGACUACAGCAGGCAAAAAGCAGAACAAAACUGGAUUUUGUGUAACAAGCAGAUCGAAGAUCUGCCAGACAGAGGAGAGAUUUCCAGGAGUUUCUAGAGGGCUGUGGGGAGUCUGGGGUGAGGCAUGAGGGAUUCUGGUGAGAGGAGUGCUGCAGUAAUGGGCUGCAGUGUGGAGGAAGAUGAAAGGGAGGAAAGGAAGCAGAGCACACCUAUUAAUAAAAAAAUACCCUUUUCUUUUCAGAUUUAUUGAUACCUCAGAGCCUGAGAGUCUCCCAUGCCUUUGCAUCUUUGUGCUAACAUUACCCAAGGGUGGGCAGGAUCUGUGAUGAGCCUUUGAGUUCAAGUGGGGAAGACCUCUCAAUGUUAAUUUGUAGAAAUGAAAAGAAGACUUGGGUUAGCAAAGAUUUCUGCCUGAGAAACCUGUGCUGCAGUAGAAAGAUGGCACCAGUGUUUCUAAAAACCCAGCUGAGCAUGCACUACCACACAUCAAAAAUGCAGUCACUCAGCUGGGGACCUCAGGAUGGUGGCUGUGGAUUAAUUCAGUGCUGGAGGGAAAAUUGAUGGUUGCCCUGGGACCAGUGUUUGCUGGCCACUGACAUUCAAAGAAAGGACAGCCCCAUCUGGUCAUGGGGAAAGCAGUGACAAUGCAAAAGGAUGAAGUGAUCACAGUGGACAAAGAGCAGGUCAUGAACUCACCCCAAAGGAGGGGCAGAAGGGUUUUGUUGGGAGCUGAGUCCAUAGGAGACAAAGUUUAUUCCUUGCAGGCUGUUAAUGAAACAGGUACUGAGAAGUUCCCGUCACAAACAAUGCUGGGAAGUCGGGGACGGCUCGGUUGUUCCUGACACGGCUUUGCUCUCUCUGGGGUUUGCAGCCAAAUUUCUCGUCCGGUGACUGAGUGUUCCCCCUCCGGAAGGGGUGCUGCGGGGAGCCGCGGUUCCUCGGGCCAGGGUGACAUUUGCAGUGACAGGGAGGUCACUCGGCGGAAGAAAACAAAAGCAGCGGCGGCCACGGAGCGGCCCCGCAGAGGGGAGAGCCCAGGCGGGGCAUUGAGGACCUGCAUUUACCUCACAUUCCUUCUACUUUCUAUAAAACAUUUUUUAAAUCAUUGGCAAAACUUUUUUUUACUUUUUCCCCUUUUCUCUUUUUCUCUCCUCUCCUCUCCUCUCCUCUCCUCUCCUC
RNAcentral lists this long non-coding RNA (1270 nucleotides) under Chloebia gouldiae (Gouldian finch). Its description in RNAcentral is "Erythrura gouldiae (Gouldian finch) lncRNA (ENSEGOG00005003290.1)". The record is from RNAcentral. Lineage: Eukaryota; Metazoa; Chordata; Aves; Passeriformes; Passeridae.